GUGGUGUGGAAACUGGAAAAGUUCGGUGGGCAUUGAAUAAGCCAAGAGGAGUGGGAAAGCCUGCCCUGGGGGACCUCAGUGAGUGAGUUGGAGGCUGGAAAGCCAAGAGCAUUUCCUUAUCUGUGAAAUGAGGCCAGUAAUUGCACAUACUCCAUGGAGCUGCUGGGAGGAACUAAUGCAUGUUAUACAGCAGGAAAUUAGUGGCUUCCACACUGGACAGCCCAGAUCUAUGAUAUUUCCAUCACCAGAGAAAGUUCUAUUAGACAUUGCUGCUCUGGAGGCAGAAGCCUGAAGAUACAUGAGAACACAUGAGAAUAAUGAGGCAGGUUGUGAAAAGUUCUGUGACGUGCAUAAAGAGUGGCAAACCAUCAGCCUUAAGGACAAUAGCAGCAGCCACAGUCGCUUAUUGAUAAGAAAACUGAGGCUCGAGAGAUGAAGAAACAUUCACAGGGGAGUCUGAGGAUUUGAAAACUUUUUUUUUUUUGCUGCACCUCCUUGAAGGUUGUGGAAGAAAAACAUCAGGAGCCAGAUUUCCAUUUUCCCUUG
Nycticebus coucang (slow loris) is the source of this 546-nucleotide long non-coding RNA. RefSeq lists it as uncharacterized. The transcript has 3 exons. NCBI's taxonomy places the organism in Eukaryota, Metazoa, Chordata, Mammalia, Primates, Lorisidae. The record is from RefSeq and is a predicted model, not a curated record.